ACGAAGGGUGCAAGCGUUAAUCGGAAUUACUGGGCGUAAAGGGUGCGUAGGCGGUUCGUUAAGUCUGUCGUGAAAUCCCCGGGCUCAACCUGGGAAUGGCGAUGGAUACUGGCGAGCUAGAGUGUGUCAGAGGAUGGUGGAAUUCCCGGUGUAGCGGUGAAAUGCGUAGAUAUUCGGAAGAACACCAGUGGCGAAGGCGACUCGCUGGACAAGUAUUGACGCUGAGGUGCGAAAGCGUGGAGAGCAAACAGGA
RNAcentral lists this ribosomal RNA (253 nucleotides) under uncultured prokaryote. Its description in RNAcentral is "partial 16S ribosomal RNA". It matches the Rfam family "Bacterial small subunit ribosomal RNA", at positions 525 to 777 of the family's 1533-position model. The record is from RNAcentral.